RNAcentral lists this ribosomal RNA (162 nucleotides) under Pectobacterium brasiliense. RNAcentral describes it as "Pectobacterium carotovorum subsp. brasiliense partial 16S ribosomal RNA". It matches the Rfam family "Bacterial small subunit ribosomal RNA", at positions 1 to 153 of the family's 1533-position model. Lineage: Bacteria; Pseudomonadati; Pseudomonadota; Gammaproteobacteria; Enterobacterales; Pectobacteriaceae. The record is from RNAcentral.
CUUAAAUUGAAGAGUUUGAUCAUGGCUCAGAUUGAACGCUGGCGGCAGGCCUAACACAUGCAAGUCGAGCGGUAGCACAGAAGAGCUUGCUCUUUGGGUGACGAGCGGCGGACGGGUGAGUAAUGUCUGGGAAACUGCCUGAUGGAGGGGGAUAACUACUGG